UACGUAGGGGGAGAGCGUUGUCCGGAUUUAUUGGGCGUAAAGGGCUCGUAGGCGGUUUGUCGCGUCGGGAGUGAAAACUCAGGGCUCAACCCUGAGCGUGCUUCCGAUACGGGCGGACUAGAGGUAUGCAGGGAAGAACGGAAUUCCUGGUGUAGCGGUGGAAUGCGCAGAUAUCAGGAGGAACACCGGUGGCGAAGGCGGUUCUCUGGGCAUGACCUGACGCUGAGGAGCGAAAGCAUGGGGAGCGAACAGG
Molecule: unclassified non-coding RNA, 253 nt
Filed under: uncultured Nocardioidaceae bacterium
Lineage: Bacteria; Bacillati; Actinomycetota; Actinomycetes; Propionibacteriales; Nocardioidaceae
Description: contains 16S-23S intergenic spacer region
Rfam family: Bacterial small subunit ribosomal RNA
Source: RNAcentral